This is a long non-coding RNA of Cygnus olor (mute swan), 414 nucleotides long. RefSeq lists it as uncharacterized. Lineage: Eukaryota; Metazoa; Chordata; Aves; Anseriformes; Anatidae. The record is from RefSeq and is a predicted model, not a curated record. The transcript is spliced from 5 exons.
UGAACAAACGGCAUGACCUUAAUCAGGGAGCCUGAACCACUCACUAAAGGGAAGUAUGUGUGUCUGUGGACACCUGACAUAGUUCCAGUUAAAGUAAAUCUUGGUGUGACAAAGGUGUGAUGGCAGAUUAAAUCCAUGGCAGGAAACAGUGAUAAUGCCCACUGUAGAGCCAUGUAAACCUUAUUCAGCCUUGCUUGAUAUUCAUUGCAGUCAAACAGCACUCAAGUGGAUAGGUCCCAGACACCAGCUGAUACACGCUGCCAAGUGGAAGGAGCUGAAUGCACAUCUAGCUUCACUUUGGAAAUCACCUUGCUUCAGAAACAUGCUACUUCUCUCAUUUGAUAUGAAGUCUUUGCCAAAAUCCAACAGUUUCAGAUGAGCCAAUUUUCUGAGACAGAAGAGCAAGAAAAAGUC